GCUAUUAAAGCUAAAAAUAUAAAGCGCUAGUUUUGUAAUCUAGAGAUUGAAUUUAAUUCUAAUAGCU
This 67-nucleotide transfer RNA is filed under the name Cephalothrix simula. RNAcentral describes it as "tRNA-Thr". It matches the Rfam family "tRNA". From Rfam's summary of the family: Transfer RNA (tRNA) molecules are approximately 80 nucleotides in length. Their secondary structure includes four short double-helical elements and three loops (D, anti-codon, and T loops). Lineage: Eukaryota; Metazoa; Nemertea; Palaeonemertea; Archinemertea; Cephalotrichidae. The record is from RNAcentral.